Molecule: unclassified non-coding RNA, 7055 nt
Filed under: Leishmania donovani
Lineage: Eukaryota; Euglenozoa; Kinetoplastea; Trypanosomatida; Trypanosomatidae
Description: gene:LdHU3.16.2070(CDS-product:hypothetical_prote in_conserved)
Source: RNAcentral
GUGUUUCCCACGCCCCCGAGUAAGCAGCCGAAAACUUGCGCAUGCGCACACGCCUUCCUCUCUUUGUGCCCUUGCGUUGGUGCGCGCGCAUCGGCGUGUCGCGAUUGGUGCGGCGCUCUUAGUCUUCAUCAGUGACUGGCCGCUACUACCCUUUCGAUCUGUCACCCCGCUUCACUCGUACCCCUCCCCUCCCCCCGCUUGGGGGCGCUCUGCCCUUUCGCCUUCCAGCCUUCCGUCUCGCUUCGCCUCCCUUUCGUGCGUGUGUAGCUUCCUGCGCACUCGCCACGCCCCACCCCUAUUCAUUUGUUCUCUCAUCGUUCUGCUGCUUUCCAUUUCGCCCAGUCCGUCGCGCUUUGGUUGCCACGCUGCGCCGUCUGUCGUCGUCGCUCUUGGCCAUCUCUUCGACUCGACACGUCGCCGUUUCGCACUCUGCUCCUUUUCGGCUGAUGGUUGGAGCUCACUUCCGGGCGCUUGUCUGUUCGGAGCGCUUCGUGUAUGCGUGCGCGUAUGUGUGGUCUGUUCCGUGUUGUCCUCUCCGCCCCUCACUUUCGCUCGUGCUUGGAUGGAGACAGUGCGCGGCACGCUCGCCCAGAACGCGGCGACGCCGACGACGCCUAGCGAUUGUGCCACCUAUCGAUCGCUGCCUAGCUUGAAAAGCAACACCCCUCCUCCGUUACGGAGCGAUUCGGCACGUACGAAAUCGACGGCGGGCCACGGCGCCAAGGCACGGAUCCCGUCGCUGCAUCGAGGUCAGAAUGGCCCGCCAGCCGCGAUGCCAGGCCCCUUCAAUAAGAACUCAGCCCCGCAGGCGCCUGUGGAUGCAGCUCGCAGCUGGCGCACUUCCACUGGGGUGCCUAUCUCCUUUGGAGAGGGUGCCGUCGCUCGACCAGGACCGCAGGGGCCAUCACCUCCGCGGCUGCGGCCCUCUCCCUCCCUGCGCGACACGGCAAUCGAUACGGCCUUCUUGACCGCACACCUUCCCUUCCUCACGGCCGGUGCUGACGCCAUCGAUCGUGGCUCGAGGGACUGGAACACGGAGUUUCAGUGGCUGUGGGAACAGCAGCUGCACGGCGAGGUGUGGGGGUAUACUGGCCACCAAGAAAUGCGCGAUUUUCUUGAGGAGUUCGAGGGCUUCGCUAAGGUGCUGGUGGAGUCGCUAUGGCGGGAGGGACGUCUUCCACCUGCUGUUCGCCCGUCAUCCGUGACGACCAUGUGCGCUCGCUACGGAAAUGUGCUGGUGUACGCGUGGCCCGACGGAAAGCUGGGCAUGUGGAUGCAACGCAGUUUUCGAGUACUGAUGGAGUGCUGCGUGCCGCACCUCUCGCUGCCGCUGACGGCGACUUUCCGCUACUUUGGAGAUGUCGUCACUGUUGCCGCUGCCAUUUCGCUUGAGCGUGCGGGGCCGGCUGAGUACGCAGGAAACGGACGCAGCGAUUCAGUGAUGCACGUGCCCCUGCAGGAGCUUCUGGGUAUGACCCAAGACGCGCUAAACUUGCUUCGCGGUGACCCUCGUGGUGAGGCGACGGGUGGGGCAAGCGACGAGGCGACCACGCCGCAGCAGCGCAAGGUGAGGGGCAUCGAGGUGCGCGAGGGCAUGGACACGCGUCUUUACGUGGUGAACUGUCUUGGCCUUCUGCCGCCGCUCUUUUCCACCGACGGCCGUGUGCUGACGCUGCGGCGGUGGCUUCACUUGAUUCAGCAUCCUCCGAUGCCCUGGGCCAGUAGCGUUGCGUGCGCGGACAUUUACCGCCGUGAGGCGGCUGCAGCUGCUCAGUACCUCAACAGUGCCCUUCAAGCACCGGUAGAGAGACGCAACACACGUCUUGUGCAGCUGCUGCACAAAAGUGGACUUAACGUGUCCUUGCUGGGCCUUGUUGCGCAGACCAUGCUGGCUGCCGCCAAGGAGGAUCUCGAUGACACGUCAGAGCUGGUGCUUCGCCUCAUCGCAGUCGAAGUCCUCGCCCGUGUGGUGCGCCGAUCUUUGGUGCGCUCGAUGGGGCGCGAGGGCAGCGCGCGGUCGCUAAAGGCCGCCAACAGCUACCUUCAGCGCACCGCCAGCUCGCUGUUGCGCACGUCGCAGGAGCGCUUUGAGGAGAGGCUGCUCCCGCUUGUCCGAGACAUGUUCUGGCUCGACGAGGCGAUGGGCACGGAACCGUACGUGCAGCUGCUCAAGCGCACACUGCAACGGCAGGUGGUGCUUAUCACGAAGCGUUUAUGUGAGCUGUGCGGGCUUCGAGUGGUGCGGGGCAGCGUAGCGGAGAUCAUGUGCCAGCCUUCGCACCACAACUACAGCUCCUUCUACUCCGCAGAGCACCAGGCACUGAUAGCGACGUUGGCGCAGGACGAGUCGGAGUAUCCGCCGGCCUUCAAAACCGCCUAUCUCCUCCCACUGCGCAUCCGCUUUUACUGCCGUGGCGGUCGCCUCGCCGAGGCGUGGCGCGAGACGACGCAGCUGGUGGAGUUGCGCAGCCGCCUCACGUCGGAGCGCUUCCUCAACGCAGAGACGUGGACGACAGCCGCGCUAGUAGCUGCCCAGGUCGGCAGAGAGGAGGACAGUGCGGACCUCAUCGAGCACGCCACCCGCGUAUUCUUCGACAUCCCAGCCUUUCUCCUCCAGCCGACCGCGCCGCUGGUGCGAAUGCCGUCCUACUUGUACUUCCUCCAAGGGCAGGCGCACGCUAAACUCGCGCAUGGGUUCAUCUGCAUUCAGCGACAGCUCUUUGACGAAGCCGAGGAGCUGUUUACAGCGGUACUGCGCCUGCCGGACGUGCUCGAGGAUGAACGACAGUCACAUGCUGCGCAUUUUCGCCAACAGGCUGUCGUCGGUCUGCUCAGAAUCGCCGUGCACUCCGAAAAGGCAAAGGUCAUGCAGCUCGACGCGCAGUGGAGCACUGAGCUGCGCUCUAUGGCCCCUUCGCUGCAAGGUGCCCGCAUCAGCGAGCUCUUUGGGUCUCUGCUCUUCGAUCGGGACAUGUUUCCUAGCGCCGUGGCGAGACUUUGGGAGUGCCUCGAGACAACUGAGCAACUCCUUGGCGCGACGGCUCUCCGCGUGGGCGAGGUGCUCAACAAGCUGGCCUACGUCUACUACCGCUGGGACGUGCAGCAGUAUGGCCUCUUCUGCAGCUGCAUUCUCCACCGAGCCGAGGCCAUCAUGGUGGAGCGGAGUGGACUGUACUCGCCACUGCAUCUCAGCAUUGCCGAGAACAUCGCGUCCGUCUUCAUUCUGCGCGGCAUGUUUGUUGCGGCGUCGCAACGGCUGCACCUAUUGAGCACCCUCCCGCCUCGAUACACAGGACGCCUCUCGCGCGAGCACCCCGCCAUCAUACGCAUCGCCGUCAUCAAAGCCAAACUCCGGCGUGAGUUCGGCAACAUCGCGAUCGUCAUUAUUCAGCGAUACUGGCGCGAAUACCGCAGCCGCGCUAUCCUGCGCGACGUCUGCGAGAGCAGCGCGCAAGAGGUACAGCGGCUGGGACGGGCAUAUCUCGUGCGGCGCGCGCUGCUGCAUCUCUGUCACGGCCACGCCACUGCUGACGGCAUCGCACUAGCGGCGCAACACUACGCCAUGCGCAGCUUCUCGCGGCCGCUGAUCUGCGCCUCCGCCCUCUUUUCGAAAGAGCAGCGACACUGGAAUUCAGAGCUGCAGCACUCUUGCCUCUUUGCGAUCUGGUGGGAGCAUGUGGAGCAGCAGGUGCAACUCGAUGAGCGGCAGAGGCUCGUAGCGGAGUUUGAGGCGGCCGCGAGGUCAUGCCUGCGGGGAAUGCGUAGCGGCACUGUUUCCGGUGUGCGGGUCCCGGGGUGCAGCACGUCGUUUGUGAUGCAGAACAUGGUAUUCACGCAGGUUCCAGCGGGCCAUCGACUCUCUGCGCUGCAGCUGCGAUUGACUCAACACCUGCGCUGCAACUCUCCAUGCCUCCUGACGGUGCCGCUGAGCAUCUUGGUCGAGUUCGCCGACUGCGCCUACUACGCUGAGGCGCUCAUCCCUCUGCACCAUCGCCCGCGCAUUGCUUUCACCGUUGAUGGCCACAGCAGUGGCCCACACGCCGCCACAGCGAGGUCAAUCGUGAGCUACAUGAUGCGCCAGUACCGCGACGCCGGCCUGACGACGUACCGUGCCGACAACUGCCAAUGUGUCGAGAUCGUGUCUGGUGCCGAUGGGCUUCUUUACCUCACCAAUUCUCUGGGCCUGGUCAGCUCACUAGUGCAUCAGCAGCCAACGAUGGAUGUGCCAACGCUGGCGUUGCCGCUCAGCAUCUUCUUCCUCGCCCGGGAGAAAUGCAACGCCGGAAACGCGAAGGAGGCGGUCGAUAUGCUGGAGCGUGCGCUGCUUUCGCAAGGCUCAGACGAGUACGGACUCUUGGGCAUCUACUUCCUCUCCUACCUUGCCUCGGCGCGCUUCGCCAGCGGAGACGACCUCGACGGAGCCACGCGUCUCUUCCAGCGGUGCUCGACGGGACUCGAGGAAAACACCGCAGCUUUCCUCGCUGCGCACAUACUUUACACGGAGGGCCGCGCGUGGCUCAGCCGCGGCGACACGACAGCUGCUUUGGGUCCGCUGCUGCGCUCGCUAAACAUCUACGCCGAGCGCAUCCGCCUGCACGCCUACUACGGCGCCUUCUGCAUCUUCGAAGUCGCCCUCUGGGUGCUGCGGACCAACGUAGUGUGGGGGUCAAAGGUGGAUGUGGCGGUGCUGCACUGCGUCGCUCACGCCGUAGAGUUCGGCGAGCCGACACUGUCUCUCUUCUUAACCUGCGGGCGUUUUAUCUUGUACACGCAAAAGGUGGGUGACACCGCCAUGUCGCAGCAGCUGAUCCAUCUACGCGAUUCCCGGGCGAGGGAGCUGCAGCCCGUUGAGCUGGACCGGUACUUGCACGUGCUCCUACAGCGCAGCGAAAGCCUGCAGCGGCUCGGUGGCAACGAGAGCUACAGCAACUGCGUCUUCGUGCACCAGACGGCGAUCCACAUGGCAGAAGCCGCACACAGCGAGUCACGGAUGCUUGGCGUGCUGCUUACCAGCUAUGGACUGCUGCUGACGAAAAUGAACAGGCUGAAGGAAGCGCGGCGCGUGCUCAGCCGCGCCAACGCGGUUCUUCUCAAGACGGUGGCUCCAACCAGCCCGGAGGCGAUGACGUGGCGCAAGAACAACCGGACCCUCAAGCACCGGAUGCAAGACAACGCAGUCGCUGUAAUACGACGCGCUGUGCGCCUCUGGAAAGAGCGGCGGCGACUCGAGCGGGAUAUGCGCGCAGAGAAUCCGGCGGCGUACCAGGCUUUGCAGGCAGUGCGCUUCAUGCGGCGAAUCAAGAGUCUCGUCGUUUCUGAGGCAACCGCCCGCGUACUCAUCGCGGACUCGCACGCCGACGAAUGCUACCGUUUACAGAAAAGGAAAGGACGUAUGCGCAACGACGCAAUGCUGAAGCAGACGUAUGGUUCACGCGUGCAGAUCUUCCUUGACAAACUCGGCACUGCCCUCAUCGACGUUGAUAAUCUGGCGCUUGCGACAAAGGCAGUGAUGGCUGGCGCCGCCAAUAAUAUGCGUCAGUCCAUGCUGUGCGCCUUCCUUGUGGCUAGCCACCGCAUAGAGCGUCGUGGCGUCAUCGGUAAAUGGCGGGCUAGUCUCCUCGCGGUAAAACUAUGGCAUCUGGAAUACGUCGAUGCAGUCAUUCGCGUCGAGUUUUUUGGCGCUUUUCGCGCCUUCAUGGGACGCUGCGUGGCAGCUGAGGAGCGCGCCUGGCGGCGCAUCAUUACAGGAAACCAAAAGAAGUCGAAACAAGAGCUGGGCAAGACGAUUGGCCGGGCACUGCGUCGUAAGCCAAAGAGCAUACCAUUCAUCGAUAUCUGUGCCGUUCUCCUUAACGAGGCCCGCAGGCGCGAGUGCAUCCUCGCCCGAGAGGAAGAAGACUACCGCACGCUAAUGGACGUAUUCACGCUCGGUCCCGAGGUCGAUGAUGACGAGGAGGUGGGCGUCGAGGCAUCGCUGCAGUACACAGCGAUGAACGCAUUGACGGGAGGUAUUUGAUAGUUUGUAUGGUGCUUAGCUCGUUACAGAACUUCGUUGUCUCGCCGCAGGAUACGUGGCGACUGCCUCUCCGCCUUCCUCUACUCCCCUUUCGCCUUCCCGUUCGCAGACGCGUUGAGUCGACGGUGCCGCGAUGUUUGGUUGGCGUUUACACCACGAAAGGAGCACACGCAUCUUUUUAUUGCUAUUCUUUCGAUGCGAGCAGCCGCCUCCAUCUGUGCGGCCGUUUUCUCGGUUCUGUUCUACCGCAAACUCUUGCAGAUAGCCCCUUACAGCAGAUGCCGAGAGGAGCAGAAUGCCAACACUGAAAACACAGCAAGGCGCCGUGGGGCUUAUGGCAGACACGCCUAGGCUGUGCGCACGGUACCGUUCACUGUUCUUCACCUUUUCAAACUGCCAAAGGCACGUGCAUCCCUGACGCGUAGCGGGGGAGGGGGUUAUGAACUCAGUACGAGCUCAUCAUCGCCCCCUCUCCUUUCCGAGUUGAUGGGCAUAAAACGUUGCAUUCACAUGCACCCUCACUCUGGCAGGUGUUGCUCACACACAUACACACACAACACGCAUGAGCCCAUUUCUCCCGGUGUUUUCACUCCUGUCGCACGUCGCUCUCAUUCGAACACACACCCACCGAAGCGUUCUCUCGUGCGCUUGCCUGUGUGUCUCUGUUUUUGUUCGUGUGCGGAAAGGGCCUCGGCACCAUUUCAGGCACCUGCCAGCCGUCCACAGAGUGAGCGGCAGCGCAGAGACACACAGGAAGCAAACAAAAGAAGAAAACGAAAACGUGCACACCAUCUCUCGCCUUUCUUGCGGCUGUGCCCGCGUGAGGCGUUGGCGAGAAGUAUUGCACUUGUAAGGCUCCUAAAGAAGCUCUUGAGGCACCGCCCUUCGCGACUCUUUUUCUCGCUGUUUUUCUGUAUGCACUGCUGCCUCUCGCCCCCCACCUCCCCCACACACCGCCUCCAUUUUCACACCUCCCUUCCUCCCUCCAUCUGGAGGCCACCUCUGCCUUUCGACUUCAUCUUCCGUCCGUGGUACACAG